GAGUUUGAUCAUGGCUCAGAUUGAACGCUGGCGGCAUGCCUUAUACAUGCAAGUCGAACGGCAGCACGGGAGCUUGCUCCUGGUGGCGAGUGGCGAACGGGUGAGUAAUGCAUCGGAACGUAUCCUGGAGUGGGGGAUAACGUAGCGAAAGUUACGCUAAUACCGCAUAUUCUGUGAGCAGGAAAGCGGGGGACCUUCGGGCCUCGCGCUCUUGGAGCGGCCGAUGUCGGAUUAGCUAGUUGGUGAGGUAAAGGCUCACCAAGGCGACGAUCCGUAGCAGGUCUGAGAGGAUGAUCUGCCACACUGGAACUGAGACACGGUCCAGACUCCUACGGGAGGCAGCAGUGGGGAAUUUUGGACAAUGGGGGCAACCCUGAUCCAGCCAUGCCGCGUGAGUGAAGAAGGCCUCGG
Molecule: ribosomal RNA, 411 nt
Filed under: bacterium enrichment culture clone ALO1_GLFRUDD03GUDUT
Lineage: Bacteria
Description: bacterial SSU rRNA
Rfam family: Bacterial small subunit ribosomal RNA
Source: RNAcentral